RNAcentral lists this ribosomal RNA (366 nucleotides) under Pronotogrammus multifasciatus (threadfin bass). Its description in RNAcentral is "partial 12S ribosomal RNA". It matches the Rfam family "Bacterial small subunit ribosomal RNA", at positions 875 to 1403 of the family's 1533-position model. Lineage: Eukaryota; Metazoa; Chordata; Actinopteri; Perciformes; Anthiadidae. The record is from RNAcentral.
AGGGUAYUACGAGUAMCAACUUUAAAACCCAAAGGACUUGGCGGUGCUUUAGACCCACCUAGAGGAGCCUGUCCUAGAACCGAUAAUCCCCGUUUAACCUUACCUUUCCUUGUCAUUACCGCCUAUAUACCGCCGUCGCAAGCUUACCCUGUGAAGGACAUAUAGUAAGCUAAUUUAGUAUAAACUCCCAUACGUCAGGUCGAGGUGUAGCGUAUGGAAAGGAAAGAGAUGGGCUACAUUUACUGGCCCAGUAAAUACGAAUGACUCAGUGAAAAUCUGAACCUGAAGGAGGAUUUAGUAGUAAGCAGGAAGCAGAGUGUCCUGCUGAAUCUGGCCCUGAAGCGCGYACACACCGCCCVUCACCCU